This 500-nucleotide ribosomal RNA is filed under the name uncultured Glomeromycotina. Its description in RNAcentral is "partial small subunit ribosomal RNA". It matches the Rfam family "Eukaryotic small subunit ribosomal RNA", at positions 591 to 1092 of the family's 1831-position model. Lineage: Eukaryota; Fungi; Glomeromycota. The record is from RNAcentral.
CCAAUAGCGUAUAUUAAAGUUGUUGCAGUUAAAAAGCUCGUAGUUGAAUUUCGGGGUUAGUAGGUCGGUCAUGCCACUGGUAUGUACUGGUCUCACUGAUUCCUCCUUCCUGAUGAACCGUAAUGCCAUUAAUUUGGUGUUGCGGGGAGACUGGACUGUUACUUUGAAAAAAUUAGAGUGUUUAAAGCAGGCUAACGCUUGAAUACAUUGGCAUGGAAUAAUGAAAUAGGACGUUCGAUCCUAUUUUGUUGGUUUCUAGGAUUGACGUAAUGAUUAAUAGGGAUAGUUGGGGGCAUUAGUAUUCAAUUGUCAGAGGUGAAAUUCUUGGAUUUAUUGAAGACUAACUACUGCGAAAGCAUUUGCCAAGGAUGUUUUCAUUAAUCAAGAACGAAAGUUAGGGGAUCGAAGACGAUCAGAUACCGUCGUAGUCUUAACCAUAAACUAUGCCGACUAGGGAUCGGAUGAUGUUAAUUUUUUAAUGACUCAUUCGGCGCCUUACG